Molecule: unclassified non-coding RNA, 320 nt
Filed under: plant metagenome
Description: partial contains 5.8S ribosomal RNA, internal transcribed spacer 2, and large subunit ribosomal RNA
Rfam family: 5.8S ribosomal RNA (bases 1-105)
Source: RNAcentral
GAAAUGUGAUAAGUAAUGUGAAUUGCAGAAUUCAGUGAAUCAUCGAAUCUUUGAACGCACAUUGCGCCCGCCAGUAUUCUGGCGGGCAUGCCUGUUCGAGCGUCAUUUCAACCAUCAAGCCCCCCCGGGCCUGUGUUGGGGACCUGCGGCUGCCCGCAGGCCCCGAAAACCAGUGGCGGGCUCGCUGUCACCCCGAGCGUAGUAGCAACACCUCGCCCAGGGAGUGCCGCGGGUUCCGGCCGUAAAACCUCGCCCUCGCGGCGAGAACACCCCCCCAAGGUUGACCUCGGAUCAGGUAGGAAGACCCGCUGAACUUAAGC